GCUGAAGGCAUCUAAGCGUGAAGCCCCCCUCAAGAUGAGAUAUCCCAUCGUAAGAGUAAGACCCCUUGAAGACGACGAGGUUGAUAGGGCAGGGGUGGAAGUGCUGUAAGGCAUGGAGCUGACUGCUACUAAUCGGUCGAGGGCUUGACCAAAA
Molecule: ribosomal RNA, 154 nt
Filed under: Firmicutes bacterium AF25-13AC
Lineage: Bacteria; Bacillati; Bacillota
Description: partial 23S ribosomal RNA
Rfam family: Bacterial large subunit ribosomal RNA
Source: RNAcentral